Long non-coding RNA from Daphnia magna, 8104 nucleotides. RefSeq lists it as uncharacterized. The record is from RefSeq and is a predicted model, not a curated record. The transcript has 2 exons. Lineage: Eukaryota; Metazoa; Arthropoda; Branchiopoda; Diplostraca; Daphniidae.
GCAGGAUGAUUCGUCCGUUUUCGGUCGUCGACUUGGCCGUUCCAUUGCUCGUAUUACCAGGUAACGGCUGCUGAUUGACGGGCUUGUGAUGUUUGUGAUAAGGAACUGAAACCGAUACGCUGCGCAGGGGACACCCGUGUAGCAGGCGGGCGGCAAGGUGGUGUAGGCGUACAUAGCAUGAGGACACCGUUGGGUGGUGUGGGUGCAUUUAUCAACUGACAACGUUCUACUUCCAGUCAUGGAUUCUGAUGCCAUUUCACCGUACAUUGCAGCGCCACUGCCCGGUUUUUGCUGAAUAUCUUCACGAUCUGUAGGCGCAUCGACCAGCGGCAAUAAGGUUCGGCCGCCUUGCACCAAUCUCAGCUGAUCUGUUGACAAACAAUUUGAGAGCGAUUUCAUUUGGUGUAUCGAGAAAAUCAAAUCGCCUUACUGUAAAGGUAAACUUCAAGUUGUUGGAAGGAAUACGAUCCGUCGUAAGGACGUAGUCCGACAGUGACGGCAUCUUUACGGAACCCAUCAAUCAGCCGUUUGGCAAAGACCUGCUCGUUAGCCUGUCCGAUGCGAAUUUGCAUUUGCUUCAAAUCCAGCAAUUGUUGGAAUAUUUUCCUCUCCAAAUUGUACCUUUUUGUUGGGAGGGUGUAAAAGAGAAAUCGUUGAACUUCAUCAAGAGCGUCAUGUCAGUGAAAUCGUUUGAGACCUUCGUGUUUUGGCUUGGGCCGCGCGGACGACAGAAAUGGGAAUUUCCGCUUUGUACUUGACGCGUUCGUUCGCGUUGGUCGUUGCCGGUGGAUUGGGGGAGGAGCCGUCGUUUUCUGCCUGCCGUUCGGAUUUGGUCCGUCGCAAGAGGAGAAACGUCCGUUUCCUAUUCGAUUCGACGUCAUCCAUCAACGGCGAAUGGGUCGUCGUUUGAUUAUUCAAACUACCCGACGAUCGAUUGGAAUUGAUUUCGUUCAGGUUGUUGCCCUGAAUCAUGUCGUCCUGCGGCCGCUCGGAUGAAGGCGGAGGUGACAUGCGGAUGUGUUCCAGCAUGGCAGCCGAAUCUGUCCGCCGGACCACGGCGGACGCAUUCGCCUUGGUGUCUUCUUCCGAACGGCCGAGCAAGUCACUGAAACCGGAAUCCUUUUGACCGGAGCUCUCCGUCCCAACGUUGGACAGGAUGGAUUGCGAUCGGACGGCCAAAUCGCAGACUAUUUCAUUCAAUUUGACUAUUGGCUCUAAAUGGACCGUGUCGAUGUUGUUCAAUCGGCUGGUGCUGCCCUUGUCUCGUCCGCUUCCAUCGCCACCACUUGCGCCUGUGCCGGCAGCGCCACCGUCGGACACGUACUGCGACAGAUUGGGCCUCUGCUGCUGGUGAUACCGAGAUCCGGUGAGCUGUUGCUCGUCGUCGCUUUCCGAUCCGGAAUCAUCCGAGUAGCGCUGACGAGAUUUCCAUCGAAGUUCCUCGUCGUUGGGUGGCGGCCGAGGAUCCGUCAGCGAUCGCCUCUGUUGUGCUCGACGUCUGAUCCUUCUACGUCGCAAUCCGCUCUCCGUUUCGCCCAGUCUCAUAUCAGCGCUCGAUAGCUGGACCUGUUGGGGGUUUUCAAAAUUGUACUUAAAUUUCAAUCAGAAUUAAAAUUUAAAAAAAAAGAGUUGACCUCUGCCCCGUCCCUAUUUUCGCUGAAAAAAGAUUCUUCCACUUGGGUUUGAGUGGCGCUGUCUUCCAAUCGACUCACUGUCCGGCUCUUAUGGCCAGCCAAAUGCGGCAGGUGAAUCAUGGAGGAUCUCCCCGACAUUUGGCUGUCGGUCGGAUAAUCCAUCAUCUCGGCGUGAUUAUGAACCACAACAGACACUCGCCGCUGAUUCUCCGUGUACGCCCUGGACCAUUCAAUGAUGAAGUAUUUUCAAACACAAAAACAAGAAAGAAUUGAGUACUGGCUGAGGGCACGUUGCAAGGCCCGACUGUCUGUGAGUUUGGCGGCGGCCAACCCACCGUGCAGCUGAAGGAAUUUGGCGCAGCCUCGGUUGCCUCGACGCAGGGCCGCGUCCAGUGGCGUAAUCAAUUGCCCUCUGGCCGUCCGCAUGAUGCAAUUGAUUUCGGCUCCGUGAUCAAUCAAUAUCUGUCAAUUACAGCCGCCGAGAAAUAAUUUCGUUAAGAUUUGCAACGAAUCGACAAACAAAUGAAUGCACAACAAUAACAAACUUGGGUUCGCAUGCAACCGGACAUGAAAUAAUUGUUCAAAAGCAACGGCGGAUUGUGACUGUACGGCCAAUCCAAAUCCAAAAUGUAGUCGAUACGGAGGGAGUACUACGACUAAUAUUGCGCUCGUCAUUGAUGUCAAACAACAACGAGCGAGUAAUGAGAGACGGCGGUUCCUAUUUUUAUUUUUUAAACCCGCCCUUCUAAUGAUUGCCCUAUAUGCAAGAAUUGCGUGUGCAACGUUGCCGACGAACCCGAUGACUGGACAUGUACGGACAAUCUAUUGCCGUAUACGGUUUCCUCAAACUAUCGACAAUAAUGGGGGUAAAAAAGAAAAAAGGGGGAGGGGAUAGAUGCCAACUUGAAUAAUCCCGGCUGCUAUUCAUAGAACUAAUGAGGCACUUGAUUGGGAAAAAUCAAUACGUUACGCAAGUGAUUGAAAAGCCGUGCGUAAUGCGAAACGUACCUUGCACAUUUCCACGUUGUUAUUGAUAGCGGCGAUGUGCAAUGGACUUCGGCCGUCGUUAUUGACCACGUGAGCUCCGCUCAUGGCCAUCCCGCUGACGACCGAACUGCUCCCGCACGCCGAUUGAUCUCCAAAUUGCUGCUGCUGCUGCCAUUGGCGCAGGAUCCACAAAACGAGAUCUUUGCGACCGCAGGCCACAGCCUCGUGCAGUGGCACGUCCCCUUUGGUGCUCCGUAUCCACAGAUCGGCUUGAUGCUGGACAAGCAGCCGCAAGGUUUCCGUCUGUCCUUUGGUCGCUCCGCAAUAAGCCGGUCUGCAUUAAUGAUGAAAAACAAUUUGAAUCAUGGAUCAUUUGAACUAUCUUUAAAAUGUCAGCGGAACAGUUGAACAAUUACGUUCUCCCUUUUUUGUCCUGGUGAUUGGGAUUGGCUCCGCAGUCGAGCAAAAGCUGGGCGCAAUCGGCGUGACCGAGCGUGACGGCGUAGAAAAGGGCGGUGCAGCCGUUGGCGUCGAGCAGAUCCACUUCGGCACCGCAGAGCGCCACCAGCGUCUCCAAACAAUCGCUGUGCCCUCGGCUGGCCGCGCAAUGCAGAGCUGCAACCCAAAAUCGACAACUCGCCAUCAGGAGAAAUGUUCAAUAAAUGCGACAGGAUACACGACAAUCAUCAGCAUCGAACGUAUCUGGCCUACACAUCCUAUAUCAUAUUACUAGAUGUGACAUGGCACGAUAAAAACAAAACAACAAAAUAAAUAAAAAAAAAGAGUUGUCCCUAUUAUUCAGCGUAUCGUUUUUGGCGGAAGAGAACACGGACAUUUCACAUCAUCCACGGGAAAUGCAAAGGUUUUAUUCCCGCGUGCACCAACCGCCACCCUGUCCAUCCGAUCCGACUGUGCCUCAAUCGCUACGGGGCCCUGCCAAAGCGAACGAGACACGAGCAAAGUACUAGCGCAUCAUUACGACAAUUGCUUACAUGGAAAGGCAGUGCGAUUCUUGCGGCUAUUUGGCAAAAAUAUGUUUCUAGACAUCAAUUCGGAAAAAGGAAAGACAUGGGUGCUAAUAAAAAUGAACCGCUCUCUUCCGUGCGGCGGACGGUGAUGUAAACAAGUCCGUCCCUUUUAAAAACAACCGUCUUUUCGAAAUUGAAAUGACCGCAGCAAGGGACACGAGGACGCUGAACGCGUGACUCACGAUGCCAGGAUAGACCAAGGACAUUAUCCACUUAAGAGCUCUUCUGCCUCUCUGUGUGUGCUCUUGCGAUCGAAUUUUACGAUCCGCACAUAAAAACAGCAACUCAAGGUCGACGUCCCGACUGUUAAAACCUUUGAUUUCGGUUAACGUUGUUAACGACGUUACAAAGAAAAGCUUUAAAAUCAAAACAAUAAAGUCAGAAGUAAAAGAUUGUUUGUGUGUACCGGUAAGUCCGUCCUUAUCGGCGGCCAUGACGGAAGCCCCCGCAUUGGACAAGGCUAAAAUGGCAUCCGCACUACCUGUACAAAAAACAUCAAUAACAAAACAACAUGGUUAUACACACACACACACACACACACUUAGUCAUUAAUUUGAUGGACGUCAAAAUGGGUUCCGUUCCUUGGCGCACUUACGGUCUAACCCCGCCCGCAGAGCAAACAGCAAACCGGCCAUUACGCAGUUUGUGAAAGGCUAGUACGGGCCCUUAUCAUCCAACACAUCAAUCGAUAACACCCCUUCCCUUCCGUCCCAUUUCUUUUUUUUUCUUUCUUCCUCUUUAAAAAAUAAGAACCGAAAGGAAUCAAAUAAGAUGCAACGACUCCAAAACAUUUUCAUCAACGGCCCCAAAUGUUUUGAAUUGCAAAAAAAAAAAUAAAAAAUGGCUACACAAACCCAACAGGUCAUUUACAUAAAUGUAAAUCUACUAGCCAGAUGAAAAAGUUUGCUUUCAAAGUUGUGGUCAUGCGGAAUACGGACGCACGUUACCAAGUACAGCGUAAAAGAUAUACCAGAACUAGCGGCCCAGAGGAGAGGUUGGCGUCCGUCACGAUCGAUGACGUCCACUGGCACGCCAUGGUUGAUGAGUUUCUUCAGAGCUGAAAGGCCCGUGUACCUUUGGCUGCUGCCUGGCCCACCCAAAGGGCCGCCCGCGCUGCCCGAUCCAAUCAUUUUCUUGCUGUUGCCGCACAUUUGCGCUGCGUAAUGGAUCGGAUAAGCCCCGUGAAUGUCUUCGACCGAGGCCUCCGCUCCGGCUUCCAGGAUGACAUCCAGAGCUUCCAAUUCUCCGCAAACGGUGGCCCAGUGGACGACCGAAUGGCGUUCGUUGUCCAGCAAAUUGACUUCGGCCCCGUGGUCGAGCAAGUACCUCAACAUGGUGCGAUUGCCGGCGAUAACGGCCAAAUGCAGCGGAGUGUAACCUUCCUCGUCCGGCUGAUUGAUGAGCGCUGGAUUGGCUUUAAGUAACAACUGGGCAGCAUCGACCGUCGUGUUUUCGGCGCAAUAGUGCAACGCUGUUUUGCCCGUCCUAUCGCUCUCUUUCACGCACAUUGGCUAUACGCGAUUAUUUAAAAAAAUGUGCGAAAACAAAUGAAAUGCCAAUGAUUGAUUUGAAUACGUAAUGCGAUGUACCUUGCGCUGGAUGAGGUGGCGAAUUUGUUGGGUAUCGCCUUGUUGGCAGCUGUACAUCAGCGGCGAAACGCCUUCCAUCGAAGCCCUCGAGGGCCUCGGCGCACUUAUUCGGCUAAUUGGAUUCAUCGUCCUAUUCGUGAAAUGGCGUUACUUAUUGACUGACUCUUUGUUUUUUUGGUAACAACAAUUUUUCAUCCCCGAAAGUCGAUUGGAUAAAGCAAUCAAACGCGCUACAACAACUCUAGGGGUGGAUCGAUAAGGAAAACAAGGUCGAUAGUUUUACGGGUUUUUUUGCUUCUCUUGUCCAGUGAGUCGAAAUGCCGGAUUGCCCUCUGCGACACCAACAAACGCACGACUGUCAAAAUUAUCGUUGAUGUUCGCCCGAUGUACGCAUAAAAAAAGAGACCCUCUGACGAAUGGAACAAAAAAAAUAAAUUCUUUUCGCGGUCAUGCCGGACAAAACAAAUGGCCGAUUGCUCGACACACACACACACGACGUACAUAACGCAGCGUGACACAAACCGAUUUAUCGAUCUGAUUGUUUGUUUGUGUUUGCUUCAGUUAGCAAUAUCUAUGGACAUACCCAUCCCCUACUUUUUUUUUACUAUUCCAGGUUAUUUGUUUUGUUUUCGCCAUCGUAAAUCGCGUUCCGGGCUACUCUUUUUUUUUCUUUUCUUGCCAGGCCCAUCACAAAUUAUUCGUGUGACACGUAAUAGCACGUUUUUGGCUUUUUCUUAUGGCUUCGUCCCACCAUUUGGGCUGAUCAAACUUUAACCGAUUACACCGUUUCUAUUAAAUUGUUUAAUAAUAAUAAUAAUAAAAAAAAAAAAACUAUAAAAUAAAGGAAUUCAACUUGCCGAUUUUCGCUUGGAACGUGAAAAUGCGUUGAAGAUCCCGGCUUAAAAGAAAACCAAAAUUCAACCGUCACCGCAUGGAUGACGAUCCGUUAACAUCCUUCGAUUCGCUGAUUGUGUUUCUAUUCCUUUUGCCAGAGGACGGUAGUGUAAAUGUUUUCAAGGAUCUUUUCGAACGUAGACACACGCACGAACACAGACGACCACACACACAAGGAAUCACCGACUAGUUGGAUUCGCUGGACACGACCUACUGACACGGAAUAAUAUUUUUUUCUUCCAGUACAGUCGGGAUGAAAAAACAAAAAAAAAAACAAAACAAAAAAAAUCAUUUCAACGACCGUCAGCGCGCAGGUAUUCUCUUACCUUCACAAGUUGGCGUUGCUAUGGUAGCGUGACCUAUACACACACAGUCCACAGUCACCCACGUACGCAUCUUAUUCGAUUCGCAACGAUGAUGAAAUGAAUCCAUCUAAUCAUCCAUCUCGUGUAAUGAUGGACCCAGUUUCACUAAUUGCUAAAUGGCACUAAAAGCAUCAUGGCAAAACUUCAUCGGACCAGGGGAGGGAUUAGACACUGAUUCCAAUCAGGCCAAAACAUGCGUUUCAUCCGUUCGCAGUAACCUUUCAAGUUAAUCAAUUCACCUGCUGCCAAAUCAAAUUUCACUUCAAUCAAAUUCUAGUCAGUUAAUGUAAUGAUAUGGUGAUAUUACCGGUAAAAAGGGGCUCGUAAGGACAGCCCGGACUGUUCCACAAGAUUUGGGCUAGUAUACCAAACAUGGCGCAAUCGACUUCAAUCGGCUGGUCCCCCAUCAAAAACGACUUCGUCCCUGAAAAUAAUGUCGUGAAUUAAUACGCUGCCUCAACGAUGGCGGUGGGCUUACGAAUACUUAAAAAAACAUACCUAGAAAGUUGGAAAUGGCCCGCAGAUCCUUCAACCCCAUUUCCAUGACUUCAGAUUGACUAUGACGGCCCAUGCCUUGAGCUGAAACUUGAGAUUUCACUCUGCUCACUACGAUGGGUCGUAAAUAGCGAACAGCGAAAUGCAAAUCGGUUUGAAUGAGCGGUAAAGAACUUCCUCCAUUAUAAAUCCAUCGCCACACCAGCAUGACCCAAUAAAGAUGGUCUUCCGCCAUGAUCUGAAAAGCUCUAGCGACCGCCUUGUCUUCGAUUGAUAAAUGAUGACUCAAAUCCUUGUGAAAUGUUUCGGAGAGCAGUUCAAGGCACAGCUGAGAGUCUCCCACCUUUUUUCCGUUCAGAGUAAUCCAAGGAGUUUUACCUUUGGGUCCCAUUGGCUCGUCAAAGUCGUUCUGCGUAUUAAUCGAGUUAGAAAAUGAAACAAUCAAAUGUAGUUGGAAUUUGUUUACCUGGUACGCAAUACCGGCAAUCCGGAGGUAAGUUUCCAAUUUGAGAGCAAAUGGAGAGAUACAUGGCGUUAAUUUGCCUCUCUUCAACUGGUGGAGGAUAACUACAUUGCUACCAUCUUUACCUUCUAAAGCAGCAGCAGCCAUUUUUUUUUUAACCACGCGAGAUAACGAACGAUAAGAGCACAAUCAAUGCACCUACGCUGUUUUACGCAAUUUUACUGUUCUAUUGCAUUUGAUCUACAUCUGAACAGCCUUCUCAUACAUUUAAAUUCUUUUUCAUAAAGAGGAAAUAGGAACAUCACAUUUAAAGCGAAGCGUGAAAGAGAAUAAUUAUUGCCUGAAUGAAUUAAAUGCGAGGAGGAUUCAGACAACGAUCCCAGUCAGGCCAGAACGUUUCUUUCAUACGUUCGCAAUAACUUUUCAAGUUGCUGAAUUCGCCUGUGUUCAAUCGGUAUUUCAGAACGAAAGGAAAGGUUAAGAUUAAAAUUAUAAAUAGGCAAGAGGUAUCAGGGGACUAUUUAAUAUUACCGUUCGCGAGUUGUUCAAAUGGUGAGCCGGGGCAGUUCCAAAGCAACUGACUGAGAAUUCCAAACACGGCACAGUCAGCUUCGAUCGCUUUGUCGCCCAUCAAAAACGGUUUGGUGCC